GACAGUUUGGCCGAGCGGUCUAAGGCGCCAGACUCAAGUUCUGGUGGAGCAAUCCGCGUGGGUUCGAACCCCACAGCUGUCA
Molecule: transfer RNA, 82 nt
Filed under: Amoebophrya sp. A25
Lineage: Eukaryota; Dinophyceae; Syndiniales; Amoebophryaceae
Also listed under: 2 other names
Rfam family: tRNA
About the family: Transfer RNA (tRNA) molecules are approximately 80 nucleotides in length.
Source: Rfam by way of RNAcentral